UCCGCUAAAAAAAUUAUUUUUUCUUGAUUUAAAAUAAUUUAAAAAAAAUUAUAUCUAUAUAUAUAAUUAAACACAUUGACAAAAUAGAGAGAGAAAGAGAAAAGUAAAUUAACAGCGAGAGAAAGAGAGGAAUGAGAACAAAAAAAAGAUAAAUUUUCUUUAAAGAAAAAAAUAAAUUGCAAUUAAACAAAAGAAUUUAGUUAUAAUGAAAUUUAUAAAAAUGAAACACGUUUUUUUAUGCAAAUUUAUGAAUUAUUUUUUAACUUUUUUUAUAAUUUUUUAAACAAAAAAAUAAUAAAAACACACACUUUUUUUUAAAUAAUAAAUAGAGAAAAAGAGCACAACACACGCAGAGAGGCAAAUAGGAAAUUAAAGAAAAAAAAAGAAAUUCACAGUACUUUUUUUAUUUGAUACGAACGGAUGAAUAAUAUUGAAAAAGAAGAAGCAAAAAAGUAUUCGUUCGGUUGUUUUCUGUGUUGUGUUUUGCUGUUGUUCGAAACGCGUAGUUUGUUUGCCUGCUGUUAAGUUGUGUAGCUUCGCACGAAAAUUUUAACGUCGCGUAACGCCGCUGAGGCAAAAAUUCAACUGUCUACCCAAAGUAAACGCUCGUUUGUUCGUUGCUCGUUAGUGAAUAGAGUAUAUCUCUCGUCAAAAACGGUAAAAGCAAAAACAACAAACACACGAUUAAACCAACUUCGUCUAAGAAAAAAAAAACGAUUCAAUUUUAUUGUUAAUAAGAAAGCAAGAAAAAAAAAAAAAGAUUCAAACACGAAAACCUGCUACCAGGGAGAGCAAAAAAAUAAAUAACUUAUAAUUUUGCUCAAAAUAUAAAAAUAAACCAAGAGAUUUUUGGUAUUUUUCGAAAAGAGAGUUAAUAAAACUUGUGAAAAAAACAGUGAAGUGAAGCUAAAAGAGAGCAAGAGUAUUAGUGUUAUGAGAGAACAUAAUUAAGUUCUUCUCUUUGUUGGUGUUAUUAUUAUUUAUUUAGUUUUUUUUUCUUUUUUUUAAAAAAAGCUGAAAUUAGCUUAAAUAUUUAAUGAUUUAUCAAAUUUACUGUUAUGUUUUGCAUUUAUUUUUAAAAUUAGCAACAACAGCAUAUAAUAUAUAUAUAAAAAAAUAACAAACAAACUAAAAAUCCCCCUUAAAAAAACAUUUUCAAAUAAAAUUGAAAACAAAAACUUAUUUAAAGAAAAUUAAAAAAAAAACCCAGGCGUUGGAUUAUUAACAUCUUCUUUCACCAAAAAUCACGACGGUUUUAAUAUAUACCUUACACUACUCCUGCAGCUAAUGCUCUCUAAGGUCAUUAAAACCUUAUAAGUCUGCAAAGAGUCCUCAUAGAAACAUAAAAACUGAACUGAUUACAUUAACAAAAAAAAGAAUUUGCGCCAGUUUUUGUUUUUUGAAAAAAAAAUUACUUUAUUAAAAAAUUUAAAAAUUUAAAAAAGGAAUUAAAA
Molecule: long non-coding RNA, 1454 nt
Organism: Lucilia cuprina (Australian sheep blowfly)
Lineage: Eukaryota; Metazoa; Arthropoda; Insecta; Diptera; Calliphoridae
Exons: 3
Source: RefSeq, a predicted model, not a curated record